CGGGUUAUUCCCCUUUGGCCAAAAACAACAUGCUGUUAAUAGGGAAAUUCCAUAUUGCCUUUCACCGGCCUGAGAUUAUGUAUUCUCGGAAGGGUCUUUCCAAGAACAUGGACUUUCCAAGAACAGGGAGGCAUUUAGGGUCGCAUGAUAUUGAGAUGGGGGAAUUAUCUUCGCAGGGGAAAUCCCGACUGCAGGACUCUUCCAAGAAUCACAAUUCGGAGUAAUGUUUUGAUUGGCUGAAGCGCUUGUGCGGAAAUGUCCCCCCAACCUCGUUUUGUUUCUUUUGUUUAUUUUUUGAAGUGUCUUUUGUUUUCUUCUGGGCUUUUUGUUUUGUUGUGGAAGGUGGAAGUAGGUGUCAACACCUAGUAAAAGAAGGAAUGAACUCUCGCGUUCGAAAUCGACUCUCGAAGAACUAUCGCUCUUUUCGAAGAAACUCUAGAAAUCGCUCUUGGAACUCAAGAAACUCUCGAGGAACUCGCAAGAUAAAGGUUUCCCGUACAAGGACAUAAACCAGGUGAAAUCUUUCCGUUUAUUGAUGGAAUCUUGAUAUAGUCGAAGAAAUUCGGAAUAAAGGACCUCUUACAUUCUUGGACUCUACAUUAAUUAUUCGUUGCUUAUUUCGUUUGUUAGCUUUGAUAGAUUAUAAGAUUCUCGUUGCUUUUGAAUAUAUAUACAGUCCUCUUUAAUUAUAAGAUAAAUAUAUCUCUCGUUUUUUUUAGCCCUUGUUGGGCGUAUCUUACACGUAGAAUUAAAUGACGAGAACCAAUAAGUGUCUACGAAGUUCGAAAAGCGCUACCAUCUUGAAUUUAAACAAGGUAUUAAGGAUGUGAUGAAUGUGGAUGUUAGGUUAGGGCCUUAACGAAACACAUGUAAGUCCUUUCUAGUAUUGUCAACUAAAGUUGUCCUUAUGUUACUCAUAGUGUUAAUAACUUUGUUUAUCAAAUAAGGAAAAGUUUUUUCUUGAUCAUCCCAUGAGAGCUUGAAGAAACAAAUAUUUAAAUCAAGUAAAAAUCCCUCCCUGUGUCAAGAAUGGGUUUUUAGUGCUUCAGACAAGACAGUCAGGGGUAUGAAUUCAUCCGAAUGGAAAAAUUGCGAGGCCCUGAGUAUUUGCAGUCUUCCAUCGCCGAUAUGUCUUUUUGAAGACCAUCCUUAGAGCAGGUAUCAUCGGUAUCAUUUAUUCAUAGCUUUCCACUUUCCAUGCAAUUGGUUGAAUUUCAUUACCAGAACUGUGCUCUCUGCAUAGAACUAGACUUAAAAUAACAGCAGGAAUCUAAUCGGUAACCCUGGCGGGUUAUUGGGUCCCAAAAGAAGCAGCGCUAGCAAUCAAAUAUUUAUGACCGAGCAUGUCCCCGUAGCACUAGCCUGCGUGCAGACUUCACUUUCCUUUGCAAAGGCAGGCCCGUCGGGAACCGGGGGUUGGGGGGGGCUGGAGCCCCCCAAUAAUUGUCAGACUGUAGUAUAUUUCCUUUAUAACAGUGUACUAAAUGAGCAGCGCCCCCCCCCCCCCAAUAUGAAUUUCGUUCCGACGGCACUGGAAGGAGUGCCAGGAAGGAACUUGUAAUACCUAGACAAAGGCCAGAAUCAUUGCGCAAGGUCUCAGAACUCAAAACUGUUGAAAAUAUAUGAUUAUUACUAUGAUGACUCGUGUUAUAUUAAGUGAUUGACAUUUCGAACUGUUGUUGCUUUAACUUCCGGAUGCUUCACGCUGAGAAUAUGUUUUGUUGAACUCUAGAUUUUGAUUACUCGCAAUUCGGUUUUAACCUUUAACAUAUUAAGGUCUAAUUUUGCAUAUUUAGAGGUAUUUCGUGAUGCUCUUUGAGGUUAUGGGAAAAAUUUUAAAAUUCCUAAAAUAGAUUUUUGUGACGUCAUCACUUGACAACUCUAUUCCGCAGAUGCACGCUACACGCAGAAAAAACCAGUUCCGUCUUGGAACUCCUCCACAACGGAAAGUAAAGUCUGCACGUUGGCUACCGUAGCACCCAGAUUGGCCUGCACCUUUCGCAUACGUUUCUAGGUCUCUAUUUUACCGUGCCUUUCCACUUUUAGGUACGCCACAACGCGUCAGCUUUGGAUUCGCCUGAUGACAUUUUAGAAUUCCUUUUGGAAUUUCGUCUCUUGUCGAAAAAAGCUUCUUUUAUCAAGACCGGCUUUCUGUGAACAGAUGAUGAUGAUGACCUUUUUUCCCAGUGCACUUAUGUAUCAUUACAAGGAGCAAAAUUGUAGAUUCAAGAUCCAUUUUGAAAGCGAUAAAAAGAAUUGACGAAGCUGGCAUAAAAAACGAAUGCAUAGCUCAUAAUAUAAAGACAUCUAUAAGAAAAUUGACAUGUGAAGGGGCAACAUGGCGAGUCCACAGAAAAAUCCUUCAUUCCUCCAAACAAUAACUUCAAGCUCUCAAAACCUGCAUUGGUAAAACAGCGAAAAUAAGAUAGGGUUUGGGUGUCACAAUUUUUUUCAUUGACUAUCCUCAAUUUUAACAGUGUAACCGCCAUGUUUUUUGUGCUCUGUCAUCAAGGUUAAUCGAAGAAGAUCAGCAAACAUGAGGCAACCGUGACCGAGACCAUAAUGCCCAGGGGCGUCGUAGCUGGAGUUGGGGGGACACGUGCCCCCUAGCAUCGACCAUUCGGAGAUUUGUCGGAAAUUUCGCUUCUGUUCGGCUAAAGAAUAUUGGACAAUUUUAUAAAAAAAGAACGUUCAGAAAAUAACCAGCAUGGGAAGGAGAUUGUCAAGAAAAACGAAGACAAGAAAAGGUUUUUGACGACAGUCAAACUAUCUGGCCCAUUAAAUUGCAAAGUUUACAGCUUGCCUGUCAAAAUCGGUACAUUUGUAGAAGAUAAUUGCAACCUUACCUAUUGGCUCUACCAAAUAUGAGCAUACCUUUUCAAAGCUCAAGUUUGUAAAAAUAUAUGUUGAGCGUGACUAAGCUAAGCAUGCGCCAGAUGACGUUACUUUGUUUAAAAUCAGUUGUCACAAAAUUUGCGAGCUGUGCCUUCCCCUUAGAGUUACUACCCACGACGUCCCUGAAAAUGCCCUUGAACUGUAACAUCGGCCUUUACCUUCAUCCGUACGAAUGUUUCAUUUCUUUUUAUCGAUUCGAAAAUGAGGUUUUUCAUAAAAUCGGGAACCCCCAGGCUGGGAGCGGGUCUAAUUAAUAUAUUGACAACCCAAAGAUGUGCCGGCCAACAGAGUCAUUUUUGCGCUUAAAAUUCCGCGACAGCAUUAUACCCCAAGUACCUUUUUCCGGCACAGGAAUGCGUGUUGAAGAAACUUUUUCCAAGACUGCUCAGAUUUUUUAUGAAAACGAGAGUGUUGUCCACUUUAUGGAGUUUUUCUCUUAAAGCUCAAACUAGAUAUUCAAAAAGAGGUUAACUUUCCAUAUCAAUUCAAAAAGUGUAUCAUCAGUUAACUUAUGUUAAAGCAAACAAUUAGCUUCCUGACAGACAUCAUGUUUUCGGAGUUUUGUUCCAGGACAGGCCCAACAAAUUGUUCUGGCGGGCACAUCCCAGUCACUUUUCGCAAGGUAAACCCCCUGGAAAAAUCCAAAUCUCAACAGUCCAUUAUCGUGACAAAACAAAUAUACCGUACUUGAACGCAACAAAUGAUGCCGUCGUCAAUGAAAAUACCAGCUAUUUAUCAUGAAGCUUCAAUGAAGCAAUGACUUUGCUACCAAACAGGCCAAUUACUAAUGCACCUGCUUUAUUUCCAGGAACUUGUUGGCCCAGGAGGGGGGACACUUGGCACACAGACAUACGGGGGGGUCAGUCCGAUAUUUUUGGGUCAAAUUAUUGCCAAAAGUGAUAUUUUUGGGUUAAAUAUUUGUCAGAAAUGAUAUUUUUUGGUCCUGCGAAAAUAGUAGAUACAAUUAUGAUAUUUCUAGGUAUCAAAUUUAGAAACACUGAUAUUUUUGGGUAUUCGUGAGAUUUCCAUAUCCGAAUCAAAUGUAUUGUUCAUGGAUCUAAUUCGCUGAGGUUUAUUUUACCCACUUCAAAUCAUGUCGGGAGUCAUGUUACCAUACUCUUUGGAAAUUUUAAUGCAACUUUUUGUACUCACUGUAAACUUUAUAUGGCACGAGAUAUGCUAGAGAUAGUUUCAAUUGUUGUGAAUAUCCAAAUUGAACAUUUGCUCCAUGUGUGGUAAUGGCAACUGCAACUAUUUACGGCUUUUUUGAAUUGCAGAUCUUAUAAAUUACAGCUAUGUCAUAUUAUCUCACCCAAAAUUCCAAUUUGUGAUAUUUUUGGGUACAAGAUAUGAGUAAAACUGAUAUUUUUGGGUCUUAUUGAAAAUGAGCUGAUAUUUUUGGGUGGCCUUUAAAUUUCUUGGACUUACCCCCCCCCCCGUAUGUCUAUGUGCAGAGUGCCCCCCCCCCCUGGGCUCGUUGGAAGUAUCUUGCAAAAAGGAAAUGACAAAGAAAAACAGCAUCUUAACUCUCUCCUUUUAAUGCCUACAGACAAGGAAUUGGUUUACUAUUUUGGGAUUGGCUUCAACCUUCUUCCAGUAUGUAUAUACAUCUCCGGCCUUCUGAGCACUCCGCUUACCGCUUUUGAGGCAACAGAUCACAUCAACAGAACCCGGUUACAAUAUUCAACAACAAUAACCAAACUCAUACUUUCAACAAUUUCAGAUGGCAGAAAAUGAGUUUAUUUUCUUUAAAAUGUGCCCCCCCCCCCCUAUCCACGGGUCUAUGCAAUGACCAGCCGCACAGGCAGGCCUUGGCCCUAGCAGAGAAACACGAUGAUUUGCAUUUGAAAUUAUUUCUGUUUACUAUUAAAAAAUAGUUUUCCAACCAAGAGUAAAGCUUUUCUUAGAAACCUUAAAACACGUUCAAGAUGGAGCAUUUGAUGAAAGAAAAUAUAGUGCUCAUCAUAUUUAAUCCUCAUUAUUCAUUAGUUAAGCAUAUACGACAUGACAAAAACUUUGCAAGGGGAUUUAAAAAAACUGGAGCUUCAAUGUAACAUCACAAUAGUUGUAAAAUGCUUACUUGGCAAGCUGUUUCCACUACAUAAAGCAACGGCUACACAUUUUUCAAUUGCUACGACCUCGUCAAAUUCAGUCUAUACAUGUUUGUUGAUCUCUAAAGAAGAUAUCAACUACAUAAAUACAUGGAACGAAAGAAAGAGUCAAGUAGGAUAUUAGAUUAUGCCAUUUUACUAAUUUUUACUGAUUUUACAGGUUAACCUGAUUUUUAUUCUGAAUUUCAAGGAAUCAAUAGAAAAGGAGAGCUUUUGACGAUAACUAGCUAUUCGAAUUUUAUAACAGGAUAUUCUAACAAAACGGAUCUUUAUUUUAGGACUGCCAUAAUACACGAAUAAAAUGCUGUUGGUUUGCAAAGAAAAAACAACUUGGUUGCAUGCACAGUUGAAUCUGUCCAUAGGGUAGUUAAACUCGUUAUGUUUAAAACAGAGCUAACGAGUUAAAAUAUAAGAAUAAAAUAGAACUGCUUUGUAUACAGUAAAUAGUCGCAAAGUAGAACCUAAAAUUUAGAGCUCACAGACCAGCUUUCUUUGAUUAACAUCAUAAGGUUUUAUAUCAAAGGAUAUUGUCUCCUGAACCGUCAAUUGCUACAAGACACCCCUAUUGCCAGGCAUCAUCAACCAAUACAUGUUUUAGAUAUAAGCCUUGUGUAACAACCUUUAAACCUUCAACGCCAAUAGGCACAUUUAAAACAAGACCCGAGAACAACUUUUUGUAACUCAAUUUUGAAUAAUUAAGUCAUGCUUUGCCGGGGUAUACUGUCGGCUACCACUCAAAAGUGAAAACUUAUGGCAAAAAUAAUACCAACAUCUAAUUAUCAUUCUAGUCUUUAAGUGAGGCGAUAUCACAUCCCACGUUAUACUGAAAAUACAACAAACUUAAUUAUGUAGUAUUUAAUUAUGUUAAUUAUGUGCCUUUAUUUUAACUUGUGGCAAGAAUUCAUCGAUAAUCCGUCUCUUCUCACUAAGGAAAAUUGAUAAAACAAACAAUUAGACUGGCUAUAUCCGAAACAAUAUCAAAAUAAACUACACCUCGAAUACCCAUUGAUAAUAGAAAUUAACAUUGUUUUACUGAAAUAUUUUGCAAUAUGACGUCACGAAUACCUAAAAUAUGAUGGAUAUAUGGAAGCAGAACACGAUAUCAAUAGAUAUACGGUGCCAAUUGCUAUUCAUGUACCGCAAUAAAAACAAAACUUCUGGAUGAUUUUGCUUACAGUCUUUGUUACCAACAGCAAUGGCUUUGCUUACUGUUUGGCUUCAGGCCGAUAACUAAUGCAACCGCUUUAUUUCCAUGAAGUUCUUUAAAGUAUUUUGCAUGAUGAAAACCACAAAAGAAAAACUACAUCUUAGUUCCACGUUUUGCUCUCAAUGCCUACAGAUAGGGGAUAGGCUUAAACGUCUUCUAGUAUGUAUAUAUAUAUAUAUUACAGGUGCAUAUUUCCACCAAAGCACCUUUGGACUUUAUGACCUAAAGGCAUUUCUGUGCCCUACAAUAGACACGAAUGGUUGCUCUUUUCGAUUAAAAUUUCGUAACUAGAAGUUUUCACUUUACAAUUUUUCACAGCCAGAACUAUAGCGGAUUAUCUAGCCCUCUAUGCGAUUGAGACUGACAAAAAAUUUACAAUUUUGAAACCAUUUACAGGCAUUAAUCGUCGCCUAAAUCUUGUAAAUAUACCUUAAAGGAAAACUCACUUUGUAGAAGGAAGGUCUAUGCAGUAGGGUCAUCUGAGUGCCUUGAAUAUUGAAACAAUUGAAUUCCACGUCUUUUGAGAAUGAAGUGCAUCAGGGCGACCGUAAGAAGGACCGCAAUCACGAUAAAUGCGAUUGAUAUCGCCGCAACUGCUCCAGCAGCCAUUCCUGCCUUGCCUUUUUUAACACUAUUGGGGGGCUGUGGGUCUGGACCAUCGACAAACACAUCAUAAUAUGAAUCUUUCUGCGCUGGUAGUGACUUAACCUUGACUCCAGUAGCAUCUGCAACGGAUAAACAAAAUUUUGAGAAAAAUAAACAGAAAUGAACAUAAAAAAGGACACGCGCACCUCUUUAGUUGAUCUGGCUAAGAUCAUGCACUGACAUAACAUAAAUAAGAAAGCAACAAAACUACGUGCCAUAGAAUCCUUUAUGAAUGACCACAUGGUAGAUGGGAAAACCAGUAUCGUUAGAAGGCCUAUAGCUGUCACUAGGGAUAUUCUGAGACAGAGAGAAUAUACAUUAUAAAACUGGGGUGGAUUUACGGAAAGGCGACUACAGGGUUGCAGUCCCGUGUAUGCAAUCCGAUGAUUUCUAUACCCUUUUUGCGUCGCCCUGAUAUCUCAAACAAGCGGUAUAAAACUGACCUAUGACAUUAAUUUUCAAAAAGAGAUUGUUUUGCAGUGAAAUCGGAGCCAUCAAAAACAGGAGAAAAUGUACAGGGAUCAUGGUUGUUUCGCAUCAAAUAUAUCAAAUGACCACAUAUUGAUGGAGAUGCUCCGAAAGGCAUUCAAAACAUGUAGGGUGUCUGAGAGAAAGUGUAAUAGAGUUUAAAAUUUGUCGUUUGCCAAAAUUAGGGGUCUUCAAGUACAAUGACAGUCAGAGAAAAGGGGUCCAGUCUGUUUCUAAGGAUGAGCAUAAAGUUAUUGGUAUGCCUAGCUUGCAUCUGCAAAAAAUAUAUUUUUUCAACAUAUUUUCAACAACGGGAAAGUUUAUUACGGUGAACAUCGCAAAAAUACCACGAAAAUCAACAACAACAACAACAACAACAACAACAACAACAAAGUUUAAUCAAGGCACUGAGGGCUUUUCAAAGUGAACUGUGUAUCUUGGGACAAGGCUUGGGUGCAAUAAAAGAUGAAGGAAUAGGAUGAGGACAGGAAGAGCAAGCACAGGCACGUACAAGAACAUGAAAGUCAAGCAUGAAUAAAAUGUUAAAGUACCUUUCACAUUAACGAGAACCUUGAAUUUUCCAGAGGUGAUUGAAUCCCGUAUGCGGUCAACUGCAGUCUUCAAAGGUAGCUCGUGUUUCGGAUGCAGAACUAGGACCGAACCCUUGACAGGGGGAAGACCUAGCACAUAAACCCGGACGGCAACAACACCUCCAUAACCGGAUUUAAAAAUC
Rhopilema esculentum is the source of this 8059-nucleotide non-coding RNA. Lineage: Eukaryota; Metazoa; Cnidaria; Scyphozoa; Rhizostomeae; Rhizostomatidae. The record is from RefSeq and is a predicted model, not a curated record.